Molecule: non-coding RNA, 402 nt
Organism: Puma concolor (puma)
Lineage: Eukaryota; Metazoa; Chordata; Mammalia; Carnivora; Felidae
Source: the annotation of a RefSeq genome assembly
UCAUCAAGCCAACAUCUCAAAAUGAGGUUCCCUGCUCAGCUCCUGGGGCUGCUAGUGCUUUGGUUCCCUGGAUCCAGUGGGGAUAUUGUGAUGACGCAGACCCCUCUGUCCCUGUCCGUCACCCCUGGAGAGCCAGCCUCAAUCUCCUGCAGGGCCAGUCAGAGCCUCCUGCACAGUGAUGGAAAUACUUAUCUGAAUUGGUACCUGCAGAAGCCAGGCCAGUCUCCACGGCGCCUGAUCUAUAAGGUUUCCAACAGGGACCCUGGGGUCCCAGACAGGUUCAGUGGCAGCGGGUCAGGGACAGAUUUCACCCUGAGAAUCAGCAGGAUGGAGGCUGACGACUUUGGAGUUUAUUACUGCGGUCAAGCUUUACAGUAUCCUCCCACAGUGGUUAAACUUUGA